This 548-nucleotide long non-coding RNA is filed under the name Homo sapiens (human). RNAcentral describes it as "HSALNT0324427". Lineage: Eukaryota; Metazoa; Chordata; Mammalia; Primates; Hominidae. The record is from RNAcentral.
UCUGCUGUGGGUGUUCCUGAUCUUUGAGCCAUGAUAAUGUUACUGGUUGGAUGUCAGGAGCAGGCCAUGUGGAUGAUUAAAAGAUGAAUAUCAUAUACAGCAUGGAUAUGUUGGACAAAAAGAUGAUUCACAUCCCAGACAGAAUGGAGCAGUCUUUCCAGCCAAGAGGAAAGGUGAGCAGAUGCUUCUAUAGAACUCAGUGCUGCAGCCAGUGGGAGUGUUCAGACCAAAAGCAAGAGCCACUCUGCCGUUCUUCCACCUGUUGUGUCUGCUUUUUUCAACAUCAGGCCUGUCUUGCUGCCAGCCCCAGUGAAAAUCCAGCUGACUCUCAACUUUAUCAUCAUUGGCCAUCUUGAGUCAUCAAUUGGUUUACUGUAGCUGAUAUGCCUACACUUCCUUCAUUUGAACCCAGGUUGAAUCAUAAAUAUUUCAUUUACUUUAAAGGAUUCCAAAGUGUGUGUAUAAUAUCAGAUUUUAAUUUUUUCCCCACUGCAAGGUGUUAGAGCAGAAAUAUUAUAAUACUGAAUUAGAGUUCUGAGAAAGCACGG